GAAUACCAAAUCAUACUCCAAUAGGCAACACUCGGUUUGUACGCACUAUGUACCUGACAAGAUAUUUUUCAUUUUUUAAUCAUAAAUAAUAUAAAAUUAUAUGGAUGAUUAAGGGAUAAAAAACUAGGGAUAAAAAACUAGGGAUAAAAAAUUAGGGAUAAAAAAUGAGGGAUAAAAACAUGUAUAAAAUUCUAUAACAAUUUCAAGGGAUAAAAACACAAGGGAUAAAAACACAAGAGAUAAAAAUAGAAGGGAUAAAAACACAAGGGAUAAAAAAGAAGGGAUAAAAAAAGAAGAAACAAAAACAAGCGAUACAUCAAGGGACAAACAUCAAGGGACAAACAUGUAUAAAAUAAAAUAACAAUUUCGCGGGAUAAAAAACAAGGAAUAAAAAAACAAGGGAUAAAAAACAAGGGAUAAAAACAAGGGAUAAAAAAACAAGGGAUAAAAAAACAAGGGAUAAAAAAACAAGGGAUAAAAACAAAGGAUAAAGUUAAGGGAUACAAAUAUGGGAUAAAUUAUGGAAUAAAUUUCUACGAUUUUAAGGAUAAAAAAAAAAUUAGGGAUAAGGGAUAUAAUAUUUGGGUUUAUAUAAUUACCUUUUAAUUUAUUUUCUUAAAUAAAUUAAUAAUUAUAUUUUUGUAAAUGAUCAAUUUGGAUAAAAUCAAUCUAAACUCACAUCAAACUAUAAGUCCUCUGCC
RNAcentral lists this long non-coding RNA (701 nucleotides) under Lathyrus oleraceus (garden pea). Its description in RNAcentral is "Pisum sativum (pea) long non-coding RNA (PSAT_LNC004247)". Lineage: Eukaryota; Viridiplantae; Streptophyta; Magnoliopsida; Fabales; Fabaceae. The record is from RNAcentral.